GAGGGCGACCAAACCCCCGCUUUACUGCGCUGAACGCUUCUGAAUUUCAAGCAGAAAGUAGAAGGAGCCCCACACGGCAAUGAGCGUCUUUCCUUGGGCUGCGUGUGCAGAGCUUAGACAAUGAAAAUCUCCAUCCCCCUCCCCCAUCCCCGCUAGGCUACAAGAUUUUUGUUCUCGUUCCUUUUCAACGGUGGAAGAUGUGCAAAAUCAAACCUAUAGAGAUGUGUAUAUAUUUUUUAACAACCAAACCAAACGGGCUGAGACGCGGAUUAACCUAAAGCGCACCGGCUGGGCGCGUGCUGGGGAAUCUGCGCCGGACUGGCUCUCGGCGCUCUCUCCAGCCGCAGCCGGUGUCUACGCCGCCCGGGGACUGCGGUGGCUGAGGAUCCUCCCUUCCUCGGACGCAGGAGUCGGAGCGGGCCUUUCCCUUGGGCCGACCGCGCAGUAGGGGACGCCGCGAAAAGAGCCGCUGCGCCCGCCAGCUCCGGCCCGCAGCGCAGAGGGCUCCGCCCGUAGAGGUCAACCCCCCUCACCCCUUCCUCUCUCCUGCUCGCCCUCCCUCCGCCCGGCCCAGGUUCCUCCAGCCUCCGGACUCUUGCCGCAGUCCGAGGAGAGCGCGUCGGCUGCGCUGCUCUGAGCCAUAACCCCCAGCCGGGCCCAGACCCGAGGCCCGCGCUCCCGGCGGUGGGGAAGCCUUAGCGAGCUGCUUGUUCUCUCUGCACCAAAGCUGUAGCCAGACCAGAUGGGCCGCCCAGCUCUCUCGGGACUAGGCAGGGGCUGGGAACAAAGGAGAGGAACUAAAAGAGGAUUCACCAAAGUGGCCGCGCCCUUCGCGCCUGGUGCUGUCCGCGGUGCUGACCUCGGCCCUCUUCUCUACGUAAUUUAGCCAAAAAGCAAUAGGAUCCUCCGCCCCGGUCCCGAAGAAUAACAGAAUAUUAGGUAAUUGAGAAAGAAAAAAAAUAAUAAAGGCAGAGAAGUGCCGCACACAGAAAACCUAAUAUUUUGCCAAAAUAGUCCACUCUAGCUGUUGCCACACUUGACUUGCCCUUUACAGUCUUGACGUAGUUUUUGCAGUUAGUGUAUGCACAUUGGGAAACGAUUUCACUUUAUUUACACUGAAACCUGAAUCUAAGUCAUGGGCGGGACUUGCAAGGAGAAUAAGGAGAAUGAAGGCUCUGUAUUUUUUUUCUUUCUUUCUUAAGUCAUCUUCCUUAAGACAUACAAACUUAUGGUCUUCGGCGGCAUACCUGAGUGGCACUAGUGUGGUCAGUAAAGGGACUCCCAACGGACUCAAGUGUGGGCCUUGAGACUUACCAGCAAAGGCUGGGAUGGGGACUGACUAGAUGAAACCCAGCAGGAGCCCACCCAGCCCCUUCCCCUCAGGCAGCCGGGGCGCCUUCCUAGGUGGGUCCAGAGCCCCAAGCUCUGCAGACCUCCCUGAAGCGCAGAGCUUGCUCAGCGUUUCCUGGCCGGCGGGAGGCACUGCAGGCCGGAAGACUUGAAACCCGCACUGCGGAAAAACCAACUUCAGCAUCCUCCCCCUUCUCAAAGGUCCAGCAGUUGCAGCUGGAAAAGGGCAGUGUGGCUUACUAAAUCGCAUAUGGGUCAGCACUGAUAUAUUCAAUAAAUCUUUAAAGCUGGCAGUGUAUUUCAUUGUCCUAACCUAGAUAUUGAGAACAUUAAAUAUAAAUAAUAAAAAUUUAAAUAUCUUUAAACAAUCAAAAGAGAGAUAGGGAAACAGGAAACCAAGCAAUGUGUAACCAGCCCGAGGUCGCAAAGGAAACUGCAACAUGUUUGUUUGCAUUUACAAAUCCACAAACAUAAAAGAUGUUAAAAACUAAAAAUAGAUAAUAGAUAACAACAGAUUAUAGAAUAAUAUAUCUACAAAAAUAGAAAUAGAUAACAAUCCAGCCUGGGCAAUAGAGGCGGCAGCAGCACUUUUGAUCCAGAUAGAGAAGUGGGCCACAAAUGGGUCAUACAUUUCAUCAAAUUCAUUAUUUUACACCUGACUGAUAGAGAUAUCAAAUCUCUGAUAUAUGAUUCCAUAAAUAAGAUGAUAAAGCACCUAGUCUCAGGAGAUAGUCCUACUUCUCUCAGUGAAUUUUAUUUGUCCUCUGAUUUUUGAAUUCUGUGAAUUAGGUCUUUCAUUUAAAUUGAUGAUUUAAAUUUCGAUUCCAUUUUAUAUAAUUUGAGAGGGAAUAGGUAAAACACACCAGAAAGGGGGGUUGCUUGAAUAAUAAAAGGAAAGUGUUGGGAAACAUUCCUCUUUUGCCAGUGAAGAGUAGUCAUUGGAAAUUGAAAUGAAUUUAAAGCAUUACGUGUUAUCAUGGAAGCUUGAUUCCGUUCCAGCAUCCACACAACUGAGCCGAUCUCCUGAACCCACAUUCCUUCAGAUACUUCGUGAAGCCACAAGGUCCAAGGGUGUCAAAUCUUUCUGCCUCAGUUGUGUUAUAAUUCACAUUACCCACCUAAUCCCCUUCACUCUAAUCUUUCCUGUUUAGGAAAUCUAAAUACAUCCUCCAGAAAACUAAAUAAGUUUUUAAAUGACUUUCUAAAUAGAGAUGAGAAACACAGUAUGAAAGAGAGAAGGUAAAAUACUGUUUAAAUAAGGGAACACACAAUUUAGUAUUCCGGUUACAGCGAUUAUAUCCAGAGUGGUUAAUGAUCGCCAUAUUUCUAGAUUUUUAAGACUAUUCUGUUUUCUAUUUCUUUUAAAAAUAAUCACCUAGUUUAAUAUCUUUGCCAAUUUGACUGCUAUGAAAUCAAUGCUCAGCAUUUUUUGCAAUAAAACAAUCUAUGCUUCGCAGUUGGCGAGUUUCAGUAUGCAGUGCCACGGGGGUCCUUUGGCCAUCACAACUUUCAUUUAGUGGUCUGAAAUUAAGGCUUCUCAAAAUAACUUAGGAGCAGCUUGACCCUUUGAAAUACUCAAUGACAAUCCUCCAGGGAAAUAGUACCUUUCCUUCCUGGGAAGGAGAUGCUAGCGCAGUGCACCGGGGAGUAAUACGCUGUCAACAAUGCCAGAGCGCCCUCUGCUGUCAGAAAGAGGCAGGACACCAGCUAAAAUACCCAGAUAGCACUGAGUUCUGGGUAAGCAGUGAAAACAUUAAGCUCUUAGAAACAUUUAAUAUGUGAAAUUUAAAAGCUCUGAUCAUGUUGUAUAUUUGAAGGGGGCACCUGAUUUUGAUUUUGAGAACUCCUUGAAUAAUUUGUUUACAUUUCUGAAAGGUAGUGAAAAGUCCAAUGUUUUGAAGUUUUCAGUCUGUCAAAUUAUUUCUGUAGUUACAUUUCUGCACAUUUACUCUAGUUUUAUAUGAAAAUACGAAACUGCAGUUCAGAGUUAAAAAUCUUUGUGCUGAAUACAUUAGUAGAGAAUGAGAAUGCAUGUCCUAGUUUCUCUAGAUAACUAAGAUCUAAUAGAGAAAAAAUACUAGCUAAAGAUAUCAAUCAUAGAUUGUUACAUUUUUAAAAACUAAUGACUGAGGUAGAGAAUCAUUUUCUUAUUUUGAUAAUUAACCCAGAGUUUUCUCAAGCUUUAUGUUUGGGAAAAGAAAGUGAGUUCUGUUUGAGGAGGAAGUUAAAAAUAUUGCUUCACCAUAAUAUGCAUAUUCUUUUUACCUUUAAAAAAUUUGAAACGAAUUUAUGUCCAUACUUAGCUUAGAAAGAUUUCUUUAGAAAAGAACGCACUCAGAGUGUAAAUAAUCUGAUGUGGCUUAAGAAGCAAUACUUGAAUUAAAAUUGAGUUUUUCAGUAUGGAGCAGUCUUUUCUCAAAUGAAAUGGAGAGCAUUUUUUAAAAGGUUAAAAAUUCUUUUUCAUUUUUAUGUAUUACAGGGUUUGUAAUGAUUUUUAAAAUGUACAGCCGUAUUCAUUAAAUGUUGUGAAUCUCAAAAUUACAGCCUAUUUCUAAACACACACACACACCUUUACCAUGAAGACUGUUGUUGAGUAUAUCAGUGCUAAUGUAAUAAGAUGCUUCUAUUAAUUAUUUGGUUGUUAAAUAAAUCUUGGAAAAUAAAGUUCUAUUUAUUUUA
Suricata suricatta (meerkat) is the source of this 4029-nucleotide long non-coding RNA. RefSeq lists it as uncharacterized. The transcript is spliced from 3 exons. The record is from RefSeq and is a predicted model, not a curated record. Lineage: Eukaryota; Metazoa; Chordata; Mammalia; Carnivora; Herpestidae.